RNAcentral lists this ribosomal RNA (400 nucleotides) under phytoplankton environmental sample. RNAcentral's name for it is "partial small subunit ribosomal RNA". It matches the Rfam family "Eukaryotic small subunit ribosomal RNA", at positions 587 to 991 of the family's 1831-position model. The record is from RNAcentral.
AGCUCCAAUAGCGUAUAUUUAAGUUGUUGCGGUUAAAAAGCUCGUAGUUGGAUUUCGGGCGUGGAGGUUCGGUCCGCCGUUUCGGUGUGCACUGUCUUUCUGCGUCUUUCUGUCGGGGACGCGCUUCUGGCCUUAAUUGGCUGGGACGUGGAUUCGACGAGGUUACUUUGAAAAAAUUAGAGUGUUCAAAGCAAGCUAAAGCUCUGAAUACAUUAGCAUGGAAUAACGCGAGAGGACUCGGUCCUUAUUUUGUUGGUCUUCAAGGAUGGAGUAAUGAUUAAGAGGGACAGUUGGGGGCAUUCGUAUUUCAUUGCUAGAGGUGAAAUUCUUGGAUUUAUGAAAGACGAACUUCUGCGAAAGCAUUUGCCAAGGAUGUUUUCAUUGAUCAAGAACGAAAGUA